UACGUAGGGUGCGAGCGUUGUCCGGAAUUAUUGGGCGUAAAGGGCUCGUAGGCGGUUUGUCGCGUCGGGAGUGAAAUCCACUGGCUUAACUGGUGGCUUGCUUUCGAUACGGGCAGACUGGAGGUAUGCAGGGGAGAACGGAAUUCCUGGUGUAGCGGUGAAAUGCGCAGAUAUCAGGAGGAACACCGGUGGCGAAGGCGGUUCUCUGGGCAUGUCCUGACGCUGAGGAGUGAAAGUGUGGGGAGCGAACAGG
This 253-nucleotide ribosomal RNA is filed under the name uncultured bacterium. RNAcentral's name for it is "partial 16S ribosomal RNA". It matches the Rfam family "Bacterial small subunit ribosomal RNA", at positions 524 to 776 of the family's 1533-position model. The record is from RNAcentral.